RNAcentral lists this ribosomal RNA (253 nucleotides) under uncultured bacterium. RNAcentral's name for it is "partial 16S ribosomal RNA". It matches the Rfam family "Bacterial small subunit ribosomal RNA", at positions 524 to 776 of the family's 1533-position model. The record is from RNAcentral.
UACGUAGGGUGCAAGCGUUAAUCGGAAUUACUGGGCGUAAAGCGUGCGCAGGCGGUGAUGUAAGACAGGUGUGAAAUCCCCGGGCUUAACCUGGGAACUGCAUUUGUGACUGCAUCGCUGGAGUGCGGCAGAGGGGGAUGGAAUUCCGCGUGUAGCAGUGAAAUGCGUAGAUAUGCGGAGGAACACCGAUGGCGAAGGCAAUCCCCUGGGCCUGUACUGACGCUCAUGCACGAAAGCGUGGGGAGCAAACAGG